Molecule: ribosomal RNA, 391 nt
Filed under: Staphylococcus auricularis
Lineage: Bacteria; Bacillati; Bacillota; Bacilli; Caryophanales; Staphylococcaceae
Description: bacterial SSU rRNA
Rfam family: Bacterial small subunit ribosomal RNA
Source: RNAcentral
CUUAGUUGCCAUCAUUCAGUUGGGCACUCUAAGUUGACUGCCGGUGACAAACCGGAGGAAGGUGGRGAUGACGUCAAAUCAUCAUGCCCCUUAUGAUUUGGGCUACACACGUGCUACAAUGGACAAUACAAAGGGCAGCGAAACCGCGAGGUCAAGCAAAUCCCAUAAAGUUGUUCUCAGUUCGGAUUGUAGUCUGCAACUCGACUACAUGAAGCUGGAAUCGCUAGUAAUCGUAGAUCAGCAUGCUAYGGUGAAUACGUUCCCGGGUCUUGUACACACCGCCCGUCACACCACGAGAGUUUGUAACACCCGAAGUCGGUAGAGUAACCUUUUGGAGCUAGYCGCCGAAGGUGGGACAAAUGAUUGGGGUGANGUCGUAACAAGGUAGCCG